This 433-nucleotide ribosomal RNA is filed under the name uncultured bacterium. RNAcentral's name for it is "partial 16S ribosomal RNA". It matches the Rfam family "Bacterial small subunit ribosomal RNA", at positions 29 to 507 of the family's 1533-position model. The record is from RNAcentral.
AACGAACGCUGGCGGCAUGCCUAACACAUGCAAGUCGAACGAGACCUUCGGGUCUAGUGGCGCACGGGUGCGUAACGCGUGGGAACCUGCCCUUAGGUUCGGAAUAACUCCCCGAAAGGUGUGCUAAUACCAGAUAAUGUCUUCGGACCAAAGAUUUAUCGCGUUUGGAUGGGCCCUCGUUGGUUUAGCUAGUUGGUAGGGGAAAAGCCUACCAAGGCGACGAUGCAUAGCUGGUCUGAGAGGAUGAUCAGCCACAAUGGGACUGAGACACGGCCCAGAAUCCUACGGGAGGGAGCAGUGGAGAAUAUUGGAGGAUGGGCGCAAGCCUGAUCCAGCAAUGCGGCGUGAGUGAUGAAGGCGUUAGGGUUGUAAAGCUCUUUUACCCGGGAUGAUAAUGACAGUAACGGGAGAAGAAGCUCCGGCUAACUCCGUG